UACCAGCACCCCGAGUGGUCGGGACGAUUAUUGGGCCUAAAGCAUCCGUAGCCGGUUUUACAAGUCCUCCGUUAAGUCCAGCUGCUUAACAGAUGGGCUGCGGAGGAUACUAUAAGACUAGGAGGCAGGAGAGGCAAGCGGUACUCAGUGGGUAGGGGUAAAAUCCGUUGAUCCAUUGAAGACCACCAGUGGCGAAGGCGGCUUGCCAGAAUGCGCUCGACGGUGAGGGAUGAAAGCUGGGGGAGCAAACCGG
RNAcentral lists this ribosomal RNA (253 nucleotides) under uncultured bacterium. RNAcentral describes it as "partial 16S ribosomal RNA". It matches the Rfam family "Archaeal small subunit ribosomal RNA", at positions 474 to 727 of the family's 1478-position model. The record is from RNAcentral.